The sequence is a regulatory RNA element, 95 nucleotides long. It matches the Rfam family "mraW RNA". The record is from Rfam.
UCUAGUUCGUCCCUUUUGGUCUCCACCCGAGGCCCCGACUUCACUUCCCCGAUGUCGGAGAUCGGUGGGGGACCAAGAGGGAUGAAAAGCACUCA